Molecule: long non-coding RNA, 464 nt
Filed under: Zostera marina
Lineage: Eukaryota; Viridiplantae; Streptophyta; Magnoliopsida; Alismatales; Zosteraceae
Description: long non-coding RNA (ZMAR_LNC003997)
Source: RNAcentral
CCAACUCGCCGAUUCCAGAGUGAAAGAGUUCACUUCCAACUCGCCGAUUCCGCCGUGAAAUCGCCGAUUUAAAGUGAGCCGAGUUCCAACUCGCCGAUUACUCGCCGAUUUAAAGAUCUCCAAUCGACGAUCACACAGAUUUUGAGUAGAUUUUAAGUGAGUACAAUAGUGUGUAUUUUGAGUGGUUAUUCACUCCCAAUAGCUUCUUUCCCGCCGAAUUAAUACAGGAAUCGUCGAUACCCAAUCCCACUCGCCGAUAGCCUUCUCACACUCGCCGAUAGGCCCCCCCAACUCGCCGAUAUAAGAAUGGGGAUCCCUUACGGAAUUAGUCUGUCUGGGCGGUUGGAAGGGUUCUCGUACUCUCGCCGAGUCUCCUUUCCACUCGCCGAUCCAAAUUUGGGGAUCCCUUGUGGGAUCAACCCUAAUCUGUCUUGGCGGCUGGGGGAGCUUCUCGUUGGCCGGAG